This is a small nuclear RNA of Phocoena sinus (vaquita), 107 nucleotides long. NCBI's taxonomy places the organism in Eukaryota, Metazoa, Chordata, Mammalia, Artiodactyla, Phocoenidae. The record is from Ensembl.
GUGCUUACUUCUGUAGCACAUACACCAAGAAUUGAAGUGAUCCAGGAAAAUUAUCAUAGUUCCUGUGCAAGGAUGAUAUGCAAAUGCAUGAAGCAUCCCAUAUUAAA